Molecule: ribosomal RNA, 263 nt
Filed under: uncultured bacterium
Lineage: Bacteria
Description: partial 16S ribosomal RNA
Rfam family: Bacterial small subunit ribosomal RNA
Source: RNAcentral
GUCCACGCCCUAAACUAUGUCAACUGGUUGUUGGGGUUUGACACUCUCAGUAACGAAGCUAACGCGUGAAGUUGACCGCCUGGGGAGUACGGCCGCAAGGUUAAAACUCAAAGGAAUUGACGGGGACCCGCACAAGCGGUGGAUUAUGUGGAUUAAUUCGAUGCAACGCGAAAACCUUACCUACCCUUGACAUGUCCUGGAGGCCCCUGAGAGGGGGCUGUGCCCGAAAGGGAACGGGAACACAGGUGCUGCAUGGCUGUCGU